Molecule: ribosomal RNA, 468 nt
Filed under: uncultured bacterium
Lineage: Bacteria
Description: partial 16S ribosomal RNA
Rfam family: Bacterial small subunit ribosomal RNA
Source: RNAcentral
GACGAACGCUGGCGGCGUGCUUAACACAUGCAAGUCGAACGGAAAGGCCCUGCUUUUGUGGGGUGCUCGAGUGGCGAACGGGUGAGUAACACGUGAGUAACCUGCCCUUGACUUUGGGAUAACUUCAGGAAACUGGGGCUAAUACCGGAUAGGAGCUCCUGCUGCAUGGUGGGGGUUGGAAAGUUUCGGCGGUUGGGGAUGGACUCGCGGCUUAUCAGCUUGUUGGUGGGGUAGUGGCUUACCAAGGCUUUGACGGGUAGCCGGCCUGAGAGGGUGACCGGCCACAUUGGGACUGAGAUACGGCCCAGACGCCUACGGGAGGCAGCAGUGGGGAAUAUUGCACAAUGGGCGGAAGCCUAAUGCAGCAACGCCGCGUGCGGGAUGACGGCCUUCGGGUUGUAAACCGCUUUCGCCUGUGACGAAGCGUGAGUGACGGUAAUGGGUAAAGAAGCACCGGCUAACUACGUG